AAGUUAGAAAGGGCGCACGGUGGAUGCCUUGGCACUAGGAGCCGAAGAAGGACGGGACUAACACCGAUAUGCUUUGGGGAGCUGUACGUAAGCGUUGAUCCAGAGAUUUCCGAAUGGGGGAACCCACUAUCUUUAGUCGGAUAGUAUCCUUACGUGAAUACAUAGCGUAAGGAAGGCAGACCCAGGGAACUGAAACAUCUAAGUACCUGGAGGAAGAGAAAGAAAAAUCGAUUUCCUGAGUAGCGGCGAGCGAAACGGAAAGAGCCCAAACCAAGAAGCUUGCUUCUUGGGGUUGUAGGACACUCUAUACGGAGUUACAAAAGAAAGUUAUAAAUGAAGCGGUCUGGAAAGGCCCGCCAAAGACGGUAACAGCCCGGUAGUUGAAAUGGCUUUCCCUCCAGAGUGGAUCCUGAGUACGGCGGAACACGUGAAAUUCCGUCGGAAUCCGGGAGGACCAUCUCCCAAGGCUAAAUACUCCCUAGUGACCGAUAGUGAACCAGUACCGUGAGGGAAAGGUGAAAAGCACCCCGGAAGGGGAGUGAAACAGUUCCUGAAACCGUGUGCCUACAAGUAGUUAGAGCCCGUUAAUGGGUGAUAGCGUGCCUUUUGUAGAAUGAACCGGCGAGUUACGAUUUGUUGCAAGGUUAAGCGGAAAAAGCGGAGCCGUAGCGAAAGCGAGUCUGAAUAGGGCGCAUAAGUAACAGGUCGUAGACCCGAAACCAGGUGAUCUACCCAUGUCCAGGAUGAAGGUAAGGUAAUACUUACUGGAGGUCCGAACCCACGCACGUUGAAAAGUGCGGGGAUGAGGUGUGGGUAGCGGAGAAAUUCCAAUCGAACUUGGAGAUAGCUGGUUCUCUCCGAAAUAGCUUUAGGGCUAGCCUCGAGGUAAAGAGUCAUGGAGGUAGAGCACUGUUUGGACUAGGGGCCCUUCUCGGGUUACCGAAUUCAGAUAAACUCCGAAUGCCAUGUACUUAUACUCGGGAGUCAGACUGCGAGUGAUAAGAUCCGUAGUCGAAAGGGAAACAGCCCAGACCACCAGUUAAGGUCCCCAAAUAUAUGUUAAGUGGAAAAGGAUGUGGGGUUGCUUAGACAACCAGG
RNAcentral lists this ribosomal RNA (1098 nucleotides) under Listeria monocytogenes. RNAcentral describes it as "partial 23S ribosomal RNA". It matches the Rfam family "Bacterial large subunit ribosomal RNA", at positions 1 to 1097 of the family's 2925-position model. Lineage: Bacteria; Bacillati; Bacillota; Bacilli; Caryophanales; Listeriaceae. The record is from RNAcentral.